RNAcentral lists this ribosomal RNA (305 nucleotides) under Candidatus Giovannonibacteria bacterium RIFCSPLOWO2_01_FULL_43_60. Its description in RNAcentral is "partial 16S ribosomal RNA". It matches the Rfam family "Bacterial small subunit ribosomal RNA", at positions 1 to 298 of the family's 1533-position model. The record is from RNAcentral. Lineage: Bacteria; Candidatus Giovannoniibacteriota.
UUCAAUUAGAGAGUUUGAUCCUGGCUCAGGAUGAACGCUGGCGGCGUGGAUAAUGCAUGCAAGUCGAACGGCUCCGACGACUAAUUUGUAGCAAUACAGAAAGGACGUCGGGGUAGUGGCAGACGAGUUAGUAACACGUAGGAACUUACCCCAGAGACGGAUAUAAUCCGGCGAAAGCCGGACUAAUUUCCGAUAGUCUCGUAAGAGUAAAUCACUUAGAUUGGCUCUGGGAGAGGCCUGCGGGCUAUCAGCUAGUUGGCGAGGUAAUGGCUCACCAAGGCUAUGACGGCUAGGGGGCGUGAGAG